AUGGCGACUGAGUAAGAACAAGUAGCCGAGUCAUGAAUACAAACAUAUAAUUCGAGCAAAGAACGGGAGAGCUGUAUACCUCUAUGAUGAAAAGCAAUAAGACUGACUAAAAAUUAGCUGUGUCAUGCUUGAUCCGUUAACGUUUGACUAGUUUAAAUUCAUGAGUCAUUAUUGCCAACACUUUUCAAGGCAGAUGAAGAAUUUUAUGUUGGGGUAGUCUCAGCACAGCAAGCAACAUUCGUCAAUCAUUAAAAUUAUUUAUGCAACUGUUCAUUCAUCUUGAAUCAAAUGAUAUUUCUGUUUUAUCUACUGAAUGUUGGAUAAUCCAGGCAAACACUGGGCCAUUUCAACAUUGAAAUGGAAAUGAAGAUAUUAAAUUAACAAGUAUAAUUGAUAAAAUGCGAAUAAAGGCCCAGUUAAUGUUCUACAUCUACCCUGUAGAUCCGAAUUUGUUUGAAAAAAGGCGACAAAUUCGGUUCUAGAGAGGUUUGUGUGGUGCAUACAGAGCUACAUUGGUCUCAACAAUUAAUUUAUAAAAUAUAAAGUUACAAGUCAUCAUUGUU
Molecule: long non-coding RNA, 563 nt
Organism: Aphidius gifuensis
Lineage: Eukaryota; Metazoa; Arthropoda; Insecta; Hymenoptera; Braconidae
Exons: 3
Source: RefSeq, a predicted model, not a curated record